Non-coding RNA from Ataeniobius toweri, 78 nucleotides. The record is from the annotation of a GenBank genome assembly. Lineage: Eukaryota; Metazoa; Chordata; Actinopteri; Cyprinodontiformes; Goodeidae.
GGCUUUAUGGUGGUGCAGUUGGUAGCGCUGUUGCCUCUCUGCAAGAAGGUCCUGGGUUUGAAUCCCAGCCUUUGGUCU